Long non-coding RNA from Dreissena polymorpha, 376 nucleotides. RefSeq lists it as uncharacterized. NCBI's taxonomy places the organism in Eukaryota, Metazoa, Mollusca, Bivalvia, Myida, Dreissenidae. The record is from RefSeq and is a predicted model, not a curated record. The transcript is spliced from 3 exons.
GAAACGCAUACAAAAUUCGGAACCGUUUUCGCGUCUUCUGUCACUACAAACAAUAUGGCGGAAAGUAAUACCGUCUGUAGAAAUCGUUGGUCCGAACAGGAGGAAACUGUGAUUGCAAACGAAAUAAUCAAGAACCACGAUGCCCCGUUCGGACCAAUGACAGGUUGUGGAGCGCUGAAGAUAGGAGAAGUUAGGCGUAGAGCCUGGGAAGCGGUGGCCAAUUUGCUAAACUGCCAAUUUUCCACCUACAGGCGCACAGGUCCGGAAGUGAAAAAGAAGUAUUAUAAUAUGAAAGACAAGAGUGCUCAAAAGACGUCAUGUUGUGUAUCCCAACUUGCAUCGGUAGAUGAAGCUGGACCAUGUUCGUCAGGGACUA